CAUCCGUGGGCCUCGUCGAGGGAGGGCAGGGUGGCCCCAGCUAUGCCUCCCCGCACUGUGGGUGGCGGGAAGGCCUCCCACUCCCACCGGUGUGUCGCUGCCUAUGGGGGAUCUGUUUGUUGGUGUCGGCCCUCCGGGGUCAACAAGGUGCCCCCCGGCGUAUACCGGUCAUCGGCUACCAAAGUUCCACGACAGCCAUCUGUGGUCCGUGAGGACGCCGUGCAAAAAACUCAGUCCUCAAAUCACAAACGGGCCUCCCCGGACCCUAGGGAGAGAAUCGGCAAGGCGACCUCAGGUCCACGGAAGGCUGCCGCUGUGAGGAAAGCACCCCUAGCCCAACCACAGACUCCCAAGGCCUGUGACAUAAGCCUAGGUCUCUUGCCUGGCUCCGCAGCUCCCGGUCAUCGCUGGGCACUCAAGACUCAGGUAGAUCCCAGUGUGUUCCAAGCGUCCCCAGGCAGUAGGUUGGCACACCCCCUGCCUGGUACAGCCAUCCCUCAGCAGGAGAGGAAGCGGACCGAGGGUACCAUUUCCAGUGGGCACUGCCCAUGGGAGCAAGUGACUGGCCGUAUACUCAAUGAACUGGUGGCCAGUUUGCCACAGGGUCUGGACAAUGACCUGUCCGGAAGCCUGUCCCCAGACUCCACAGACUGUGGCCCGAAUGUGAGUAAUUCCCAGAGCUCAUUGCCCAGCUGUAGUUCACUCAGCCUUUCUACCAUGUCUGUGACCAGUCUGACUGCUAUCGACCUGGCGGAGGAGGAGUCCUUGGAGGCCAGCUUGGAUAGGGACAUCCGGGUAGAUGCCCUCCUCUCUGGAGAGGCCUCAGGGGGGCCUCAGGGGCCUGGAGACAGGGAAGAAACUAGGGAGGUGAGCUGGCCACACACAACUCCAAACCUCCACCACCCUCCCUCUGCGAGUUCAGAGCCGAUGCCCAUUCUGCACCACAGCUCAGUGUCCGGUCAUGUGACCUUGAGUGUCCACUGGGGCUCAGAUGAUCCGGAUGAGAGGGAUGUGUCUUCAGGCCAAAGCUCCAUGGAUCUGAAGAAGAGCUUGUCCCAGAAAUCCUAUAGAACAGGACUGACCAGAAGCGUGUCUUUGGGUAAUGUGGCCCCUACCGUGUAUCAGCAGCCCUCUGGGGCCAGUAGAUUAACCUCAAGCCUCUCCCUGCCAUCAGUAGCAGAUAACAUGGCUCCAAACCCACAACAGCCAUUUAUAGUCAGUAGGGUCACCCCCAGCCUAUCUGAAUCGUCUAUGACUACUAAGGUCACCCCCAGCCUAGCCCAG
This 1284-nucleotide long non-coding RNA is filed under the name Lynx canadensis (Canada lynx). Its description in RNAcentral is "lncRNA (ENSLCNG00005006157.1)". The record is from RNAcentral. Lineage: Eukaryota; Metazoa; Chordata; Mammalia; Carnivora; Felidae.